AUCACCCAGUUAUCUUGGUAAAAUGCAGAUUCUGAUGCAGCAGGUCUGGGGUGAAGCCUAAGAUUUUGUGUUUAUACCAAGCUCCCAAGUGUUGCUGA
This 98-nucleotide microRNA precursor is filed under the name Equus asinus (donkey). Its description in RNAcentral is "mir-544 microRNA precursor family". It matches the Rfam family "mir-544 microRNA precursor family". The record is from Rfam by way of RNAcentral. Lineage: Eukaryota; Metazoa; Chordata; Mammalia; Perissodactyla; Equidae. RNAcentral also lists the same sequence under 1 other name.